CAGCCGCCGCGGUAAUACAGAGGGUGCGAGCGUUAAUCGGAUUUACUGGGCGUAAAGCGUGCGUAGGCGGCUUCUUAAGUCGGAUGUGAAAUCCCUGAGCUUAACUUAGGAAUUGCAUUCGAUACUGGGAAGCUAGAGUAUGGGAGAGGAUGGUAGAAUUCCAGGUGUAGCGGUGAAAUGCGUAGAGAUCUGGAGGAAUACCGAUGGCGAAGGCAGCCAUCUGGCCUAAUACUGACGCUGAGGUACGAAAGCAUGGGGAGCAAACAGGAUUAGUACCCCAGUAGUCCCUGUCUCUUAUACC
Molecule: ribosomal RNA, 301 nt
Filed under: uncultured bacterium
Lineage: Bacteria
Description: partial 16S ribosomal RNA
Rfam family: Bacterial small subunit ribosomal RNA
Source: RNAcentral